This 8124-nucleotide long non-coding RNA is filed under the name Daucus carota (carrot). RNAcentral's name for it is "long non-coding RNA (DCAR_LNC005415)". Lineage: Eukaryota; Viridiplantae; Streptophyta; Magnoliopsida; Apiales; Apiaceae. The record is from RNAcentral.
UGACUACGUGAUAUACAUGUUUAUUCAUGAUAGUAUAUGCGUGUGAUAAAUGAUUUGGAUGACAUAGUGUCGUGAGUUGAUUGAUAUUGGAUAAGAAUAUAUGGAUUAUAGUGAUUGGAUCUUGUUGGUUGAUUGUUGAUUGAGAUAGGAUAACAGGUGGAUAGUCUAAUAAAUAGACGAGACGAUGUCGGAUUUUCGAUAGGAUUCAUAUGAUAAUUGAUUGGUAAUAUGUUAUGUGGAAUAUGACUUGACUAUAUAUUAGAGUCAAAGCAUGAUUAUGUGUUAAGUGAUAUGUGAUAGGUUUAAAGGGGUAUAUAAGUGGGUAUCGAUAUACGUGAUAUGUAUAUGCGAUAUAUUGUUUAGUGACUAUAGUAUUAUCUUAUUCUCGUAAAGGAUUUGGACGAGACGUGUACGCUCGAAGACGUCAGAAAGUCGGAAUGGUAUUGCAAAGCGAAUAAGGGAUGAAUCGAGUAAGCGAAGCGAUGUGGCGAAUAGAGUAUAGCUAGAGAUGGUCUAGAGAUUACGAGAUGCAUAGAUUGUGAAAGUUGAAAGAUGAGAUAGAGAUGUGAGACUGGAGUCAGAUUUAAGGCAAGUAUCCUAAACCUUUCCCUUGGAUAUAUUGCAAAUAUUCUGAUCCAUUCCUUUGGUAUAUGUUUCAAGUAUUCAUACCUUUCUUUUCAAUGUUCGAAAGUGCGAGUAUUCUGAACCAUUCUUUCUAAUCUUCAAGUUUCUAAAGAAUUUCCGUUUUACAAAUUAAUUCGAAGUUCAGAUUGUCAUUGAAGCAUGUGUUGCUCAGUGAUAGUUAGAGCUUUGAAUGAAUUGGGAUCUUCUUGAUUAUUCAACCCGCCAUUGUCAUGCUGGUUUAGCAGGCUAAAUUCAGUUGCUUAGCCGAUAAUGGAGGAUACUGAAUAGUUGAGGAUUUCCUGAACUGUGAUUUAUGAAAUGAUGGAUCAUGAUUUAUGAAUAGAUUAUUAUCAAAGUUUGAAUUGGAAUUAUUCUGUUGUUGAUGAUAUUUAUGAUGAUGUUCUGUUAAUUUACAUUGGCUUCUUGAAUUGAAUUAGAGAAUUGGAUUAUUGUUUUUAUAUAAACCUGUGGACCAGAUUCGUGGUCAUGUUAGGCCAAUGAGUGCCUUGGAUCCAGUGAUAGAGCAUGGCGGGGCCUGCUCGGGGUUAGUGCGGAACUGAUCAGCUGCCUAACCUUGGUUUUAAUUAAAAUGUGAUAGUCCAAUUCAAUAAUUCUUUUGGAAAGAUUGAAUUCCUCAGUAUUCAAUUGCUGCAAGGUAUUGUGGUGUUCUUAUACAAUACCUAAACUCGUGAACUCAGGUUGAACCCUUUUAUAUCUUGAACUCGUGAAAUUCUAUUAUAUCAUUUCAGAACUAUCAUUGUUUAUUAUUACUUGCUGAGCAUUGUUGCUCACCCUUGCUAUUCCUUUCUAACCAUUUCAGAAAGGCUUAAAGAUGAGAUGAUUGAUUGAGAUUGUGAGUAAGGCUAAUGCUAGGCGAGGAGACAGAGUUGAGGAUCCAGUGGUCGAGGAGUGUUCAGGAAAGUUGAUGAGGUUGGUGCAAGCUGGAAUAGUUGACAGUGAUUCUUCUUAUCGAAGAUGAUCUGAUUUGGUAAGAGAUGUUGUGUAAUAAUAGUGGUAGAUUCUAAUUUCAAUACUGUAACCUGGAUGCGAUCCUGUUGCUUUUAGGGGGUUUAAAUGUUCUCUUUCGAAUCAUUUAUUAAAGUUUAAAUGUUCUCUUGAAAUUAUCCUAUUAUGGCUUUCAAGAUUGAAAUUCAGGUUUUGAAAUCAUUCGAUUUAUGUUCUCAUUCAAAUCUUUUAUUAAAUGUUUUCACGUUUUAAAUUCUUUUGGAUUUUCAUUAUCAUUUAAAAAAAAAAAAUACAGGUUUUCAAAAGUGUUUAAAAAUGGGUUUUAUGUGGUGACGUCAGAAUCCAGGCCCCCGGAUUCUCGGACCGUCACAGUUGGUAUCAGAGCAACAGGUUAUAAGUAUUUGAAAUUAGAAUAUAGAUCAUAGUUAUAGGUUUUCUAGAGAAGAAUGUGGUGUAACCUCACAUAGAGGUAUGGUCGGACUAUUUAGGAAUAGUCUAGAGAUGUGAGUGAAGCAUAGAGUUUAGUUAGAUGAUCAAGUUAAUUGUGGAUAUCUAAAGAGAUUAGGAUUCUUAAGUUUAGACAUAUGAUUUCUAGUAUGUUGAUUAAUUGAGAUGGUGAAUUAUGGGAAAGGUCAGUAUUAGACCUAUAUAGAAGAGUUUGAUAGUGAAUGAUUGAGUUGAGAAUGGUGAAAAUGCAGAGUUCAGAGUAUUCUGACUAUACUGCAUAUUUGAAAUUGGAUUAUUGUAUUGAUUUGAGGAUGAUAUAAAUGCAUGGUUCAUAGUAUGUUGACCAUGUCAGAUAUUUGGAAGAUGUAUAUUGUUUUGAGUGAAGAUAUGAAGAGUAAGUGUAGAGUAUGAGUUGUAUUGGAUUAGAAGGAGAGAUUGGUAGAUAGAGGUUGAUAGGUGAGAAGUGAAUGAUAGAGAGUACGUGGAAUUGAGUCCAGUUAUUAGAGAUGAUGUCUACGAGUAAGUUAGAACGUUAGUCCUCGACGACAACGCUUCGAGCUAAUCGGGAUUUCAAAUGGCAUCAAGGUGGGCCCAUAACCCACAGGUUGAUGAUCCAGACAAUCGAAGAUACGUUACGUGUUUGUGCUAUGGAUUUCAAAGGCAACUGGGAUAAAGUAGAAGAAUGUAAACUACAUGGGCCAGAGUUAUUACGGACGAUAACGUCUACGAUGAUAUUUUACGAGGCUAAUACGAGUCAAAUCGAUUGAUUAUCGGGAACGUUGAGAAGAAGACUUACGUCGAACAACGAUUUAUUGAAGUAGAGUCGAAAUCUGAGAAGACCUUGGCAAUACCUCUCUUCAACUAAAGAUUCUUUUGAUUGUUUUCUCAUCAGUGAGAUAUUAUUAUGAUAUCUUUUCUACAAAAGUUUUGAUAAAUGAGAUCUUCAAUUUCUCAAAUUCUAAGAUGACAUUGAUAUUGAUGAUUGGUAUGAGUUGGAAGACAAAGAUGUGUGAUAAAGGAUUGUUGUGAAGAGACAGUGAUGUUCUUUGAUAUUGUUUGACAUUUCUUGACAGUCCUUGAUAUUAUUUCAUCUUCUUGGAUAUCCCAUGAUGUUCUUUGAUAUUUUGAUAUCCGUUGAUAUUCGUUGAUAUUCUUUGACAUUCUUUGAUAUUCCUUGAUAUCUUUUCGAUGUUCCUUAAAAUAUUCCUCGAUAAUCCUUAACAUUUCUUGAUGCUCUUUGAGAUUUCUUGGAUUCUUUCCAUUUGAUUGGGAUGAACAACUCUAUUUAUAGGGGACACAAGGUAUACCUGUCUGUGUGAUAGGAGUUGGAUGGGACGCCAUCACUUGUGUGUGUUGUGAUUACAAGAAGGUUAACAACCUUUAGUAGUGUCUAAUAUAGACACGCAACAUUAAGUUCAUUUGAUCGUAUUGAUCUCCCAGUCACUCUUGUAUUCCAAUGUGACCUACUUUGAAAGCAUUUUGUUCCUCCAAAAUUCCCAAAGAUUGAUUCUUGGGAAAACGAAUUUGGCAAUUGUGAAAGUUUUGAUUCUCCUGUAUUUUUAAAAGCUAAAGGUAUGCCAAGGUUGAUCAAAAGAUGGAUGACGAUACGAUAUUACGAAGUGUGUACGGUUUCGUUUUCUUCGGGGGGUUCCGAGGACGGAAUCCUUAUAAGGGGGUAGAAUGUAAUAUCCCAUAUUUUUUAAAUUUAGACUUGAUUGUUAUAAAUCUAUCUGUCUAAAUAUUAUUGUUGGCUUUAGUUGAGAAGUGAAUUGAUUAUGUGAAUAGCUUUAUAUGAUUAUACCUGUUUUGUGGAUUAAUAUGGAUUUUACAAAUAUUGCAUCCUCCUUCUUUCUCUGAUUCCGAGGACGGAAUCCCUAUAAGGAGGGUAGAUUGUAAUGACCCGGAUUUUUUAAAAAUAUUUUUAUUAGUAUUAAAAGUGAUUUUUCUUUAAAGAAGGGAAUAAGAUUUAAUAUUUUAUUCCAGUUUAAGGAGUUUUCAAAAUUUUAUACUAAACCCCGGGUUAUUGUGUUAUUGAUAAAUGAUUAUAUUUUUAAAACUGAUUUUCAUAUAUUGUUUCGAAAAUUCUAGAUGAUUAUUAUGUGAAUAUAUGUGUGAUGUGAGUAAGUGGUAUUGGUGGAUUUGUUGGUUAAUUAAUUAUGGUUAAUUAUGAGUAUUAUAUGAUUAAUAUAUGAAUUUUUGUGAAUUUUAUAUUAUCUGGUUUAUUGCGUUAACUGCUCAUAUGUGUUCGUAUUUGAGAGAUUUCAAUUUCUAUAUGCUCAGGAGAAAAUAUAGUUUAUUUGGAUAUUUUCAUAUCGAUUUAUGGAAUGUUAGAUGAUUUUAUAAUCGAUUUACGGAUUUAAUUGCGUAUAUUUAUAUUUAAUUAUUAAUUAUUUGACUUCCGUAAAACCGUCCACUCGUAACGAGGUAGCAAAUUUUCUUCCCGGAAGUUUCAACAAAACUGACCUUUAGCCUAAUUUGAAUAUUCCGGACACUUUUCGUGUUUUGACUUUUUCGAUCCGGAGUACGGUUUUCCCCGGAGUCGGUCCGGCGGAGUUUUUCGGGUAUUUUAAUUGUUGAUAAUUAUCCAGUUUGUCUCGAUAAACGUGAAACGAGAUAUUUUGAUUAUUAUAUUAAUUCUUAUCUUGUAAUAAUUGCAAUGGGACCCGCAUACUAAUGACUGAUUAAAAAGCCCCGUUUUGAUGAUUAUCUUGAAAACCAGUACCGAUUGGACCCCGCUUUAUUAAUAUAAAGCUAUUAAAUACGUAUUUUCAUGUCAUAAACGAUCCAAAGGGGUACCAAUUAUUUGUAAAUAUAAAUAGACCUUUCUAGAGCUUAUUUUCACCCGUAAAAUCAUUUCACCAGUUUCUUUGCACGAAUACCGAGAGAAACCGAGCGGUGUUCUUCGUGUUCUUCAUAAUCAAACGAAGAUUUGAAGGUGUUAUUGGAGUCAGAAUCAAGCGUGCAAAUAGUCAAAUCGAAGAUAUCGAAGAGUAGAACCCAAAUCAAUCAUCAAAAACAACAUGAGAUUCACAGGUAGGGAGUAAUUGAAGUUUUAAAAUUCGAAUUAUUAUGAUUUAAAUAGUGAAUUUUUGCAAACGUGUUUGUUUGAUUGUUUGGAUGAUUCCAUGUUGUAGAACGUGUUUUUCUCGUCGUUUUGGUAUAUUAUAUGUUGAAUUUUGAGUUCGGAAACAUCUAGAAAAGUGGGUUUGAUUAUUUGGUUGUGUUCUUGGUGUUCUUGAGGUGUUCAUAAAUAUUUUCACCGGAUUUUUUAUUAGAUGAAUCUGGGUGCAAUAUGAGGGUACCAUCAGGGGUGUUGGGUUACCAGGAGUUUGUUGGUGGUCUUGGAUGUUUCGUGGGUGCUCGAUUUCGAGCAAAUCGGGAAGGGAGGUGACUCGCCGGCGGCGAGUUUUUCCCGUCAUAUUCCAGCCAAACGGCUUGAGGAAUCGCAGAAACGAAGCCAUGUCCAAGUUCCCAGUAGUGUCUAGGCCAUAUCUGGAGGUUUUAGUGUGUGUUGGAGCGCUGUAGCGCCGUUAACGGUGAAGCAGUGGUGGCCGGCGGCAAAUUGCCAUUUGGCCACCCAACUUAUGAAGAUGGUGAAGAUCUGGUAUCGAGGUUUUGAAUCUUACAAAGUAACCCCUGUAACUUCUAAAAGUUACAGUUUAAACCUUGGCCGAAAAGUUUCAAAAGUUUACAAAAUAAACCUUUUGAUUUAAUUUUCUAAAAUUGUUUUAUUUAAUUAUUUUAAAUUUCAAAAAUAGUUUUUAAUUAUUUCUUUAUUCAAAAAUAAAUCUAAAUUAGUUUAUUAAUUAAUUUUAAUUAGUAAUUAAUUAUUUUAAUUGGUCAAUUAAUUUAAAUAUUAAUUGAUUAAUUAUUUUAAUUAAUUAUUAAUUGAUUUUAAUUGAUUAAUUAAUUGGAUUUAAUUAUCCUUUUUGAUUUAAAAAUUCCGAAAAAUAGUUUCGAGCUUUAAAAUAUUUUUCCAAAUUAUAUUCAAGGCUCGAUAAUUGUUUAUGAAUGAUUUCAAGUCCAAUUUCAAGUAUUUGGGACUUGAUUAUUUAUCCGAAAAGUGAUUCUUUUAUCGAUUUUAAUUCCGAAAAAUGUUUAAAAAUUCCAGAAAAUUCCCGAAAAAUCAUUUUGAACCCAAGAUUUGAUUUGACCUCUAUUGGGGUGGGAAACCUUAUGUGUAAUGUGUUGUCUGCUAUUGGUUGGAUGUCUUAUGUGUCGAUAUAAGAGUGAGAAAACGGUUUUAAACAUAUCUUUUGAUCCGUAAGUCGGAAUCGAGUGAAACGAAAGAGAGAUGAAAGCUUAUAAAGUCUAGUUUGGUAUGACAUAAUAAUAUGAUGGAGUCGAGAAUGUGAAUAAUUGUUGUUAAAUGUGCCGAAUGUGAUUAUAUGUUAUUGGAUUGUUAUUAAUUGAUGACUACGUGAUAUAUAUGUCUAUUCUUGAUAUUAUAUACGUGAUAAAUGAUUUGGAUGACAUAGUGUCGUGAGUUGAUUGAUAUUGGAUAAGAAUAUAUGGAUUAUAGUGAUUGGAUCUUGUUGAUUGGUUGUUGAUUGAGAUAGGAUAACAGGUGGAUAGUCUUAUACAUAGAGGAAACGAUGUCGGAAUUUCGAUAAGGAUUGAUAUGAUAAUUGAUUGGUGAUAUGUUAUGUGGAAUAUGAUUGAUUAUAUGUUAGAGUCAAAGCAUGCUUAUGUGUUACGUGGUAUGUGAUAGGUUUAAAGGGGUAUAUAAGUGGAUAUCGAUAUACGUGAUAUGUAUAUGCGAUAUAUUGUUUAGUGACUAUAGCAUUAUCUUAUUCUCGUAAAGGAUUUGGACGAGACGUGUACGCUCGAAGACGUCAGAAAGUCGGAAUGGUAUUGCAAAGCGAAUAAGGGAUGAUUGAGUAAGCGAAGCGAAGUGGCGAAUAGAGUAUAGCUAGAGAUGGUCUAGAGAUUACGAGAUGCAUAGAUUGUGAAAGUGGAAAGAUGAGAUAGAGAUGUGAGACUGGAGUCAGAUUUAAGGCAAGUAUCCUACACCCAUCUUUUGGAUAUCUUGCAAUUAUCCUGAUCCAUUCUUUUCGUAUGUGUUGCAAAUAUUCGUUCCUCUCUUUUUCAUAUUUGGAAAGUGCAAAUAUUUUUAUCCAUCCUUUUCUAAUCCUCCAAAAAUUCAGAUAAUUCCAGUUUUACAAAUUAAUUCGAAGUUCAAAUUGUCAUUGAAGCAUGUGUUGCUCAGUGAUAGUUAGAGCUUUGAAUGAAUUGGGAUCUUCUUGAUUAUUCACCCCGCCAUUGUCAUGCUGGUUUAGCAGGCUAAAUUCAGUUGCUUAGCCGAUAAUGGAGGAUACUGAAUAGUUGAGGAUUUCCUGAACUGUGAUUUAUGAAAUGAUGGAUCAUGAUUUAUGAAUAGAUUAUUAUCAAAGUUUGAAUUGGAAUUAUUCUGUUGUUGAUGAUAUUUAUGAUGAUGUUCUGUUAAUUUACAUUGGCUUCUUGAAUUGAAUUAGAGAAUUGGAUUAUUGUUUUUAUAUAAACCUGUGGACCAGAUUCGUGGUCAUGUUAGGCCAAUGAGUGCCUUGGAUCCAGUGAUAGAGCAUGGCGGGGCCUGCUCGGGGUUAGUGCGGAACUGAUCAGCUGCCUAACCUUGGUUUUAAUUAAAAUGUGAUAGUCCAAUUCAAUAAUUCUUUGGAAAGAUUGAAUUUCUCAGUUUAAAUGCUGCAAGGUAUUGUAAAUCAUUCUAUACAAUACCAUGAACUCAUGAACUCAGGUUGAAUCCUCUUAUAUCUUGAACUCGUGAACUUCUGUUAUAUCAUUUCAGAACUAUCAUUGUUUAUUAUUACUUGCUGAGCAUUGUUGCUCACCCUUGCUAUUCCUUUCUAACCAUUUCAGAAAGGCUUAAAGAUGAGAUGAUUGAUUGAGAUUGUGAGUAAGGCUAAUGCUAGGCGAGGAGACAGAGUUGAGGAUCCAGUGGUCGAGGAGUGUUCAGGAAAGUUGAUGAGGUUGGUGCAAGCUGGAAUAGUUGACAGUGAUUCUUCUUAUUGAGGAUGAUCUGAUUUGGUAAGAGAUGUUGUGUAAUAAUAGUGGUAGAUUCUAAUUUCAAUACUGUAACCUGGAUGCGAU